UACGAACUGUGCAAACGUUAUUCGGAAUCACUGGGCUUACAGGGUGCGUAGGCGGCUUGUUAAGUAGGGUGUGAAAGCCCCCGGCUCAACCGGGGAAUUGCGCUCUAAACUGGCGAGCUGGAGUGAGAUAGGGGUGUGUGGAACUUCCGGUGGAGCGGUGAAAUGUGUUGAUAUCGGAAGGAACGCCGGUGGCGAAAGCGACACACUGGAUCUUGUCUGACGCUGAGGCACGAAAGCCAGGGGAGCGAACGGG
This 253-nucleotide ribosomal RNA is filed under the name uncultured bacterium. RNAcentral describes it as "partial 16S ribosomal RNA". It matches the Rfam family "Bacterial small subunit ribosomal RNA", at positions 524 to 776 of the family's 1533-position model. The record is from RNAcentral.